AUAAUAGAUUGAUGUAAAAUUGAGACUUUAACAUUUUCAUGCAAUUUAUAUCAACAUGAUAUGCUAGAGUGUCGGUUUUACAACUAUCACAAAUCAAUCUUCGAA
Molecule: non-coding RNA, 105 nt
Organism: Tribolium castaneum (red flour beetle)
Lineage: Eukaryota; Metazoa; Arthropoda; Insecta; Coleoptera; Tenebrionidae
Source: RefSeq, marked provisional